AUGCACGUUAGUGGAAAAUACGGGAUCCCGUCCGCUCUCCCAUAGUCAAGCCACUAACCGGCGGAUUAGUAGUUGGGUCGGUGACGACCAGCGAAUCCCCGCUGUUGCAUGUU
This 113-nucleotide ribosomal RNA is filed under the name Fusarium oxysporum f. sp. pisi HDV247. The record is from RNAcentral. Lineage: Eukaryota; Fungi; Ascomycota; Sordariomycetes; Hypocreales; Nectriaceae.